UACGUAGGGGGCAAGCGUUGUCCGGAUUUAUUGGGCGUAAAGAGCUCGUAGGUGGUUUGGUAAGUCGGGUGUGAAAUCUCGGAGCUUAACUCCGAAACUGCAUUCGAUACUGCCGUGCUUGAGGACUGGAGAGGAGACUGGAAUUUACGGUGUAGCGGUGAAAUGCGUAGAUAUCGUAAGGAAGACCAGUGGCGAAGGCGGGUCUCUGGACAGUUCCUGACGCUGAGGCACGAAGGCCAGGGGAGCAAACGGG
RNAcentral lists this ribosomal RNA (253 nucleotides) under uncultured bacterium. Its description in RNAcentral is "partial 16S ribosomal RNA". It matches the Rfam family "Bacterial small subunit ribosomal RNA", at positions 524 to 776 of the family's 1533-position model. The record is from RNAcentral.